CCUACGGGAGGCAGCAGUGGGGAAUAUUGGACAAUGGGCGCAAGCCUGAUCCAGCCAUGCCGCGUGGAUGAUGAAGGCCCUAGGGUUGUAAAGUCCUUUCGACGGGGAAGCGGUACCCGUAGAAGAAGCCCCGGCUAACUUCGUGCCAGCAGCCGCGGUAAUACGAAGGGGGCUAGCGUUGCUCGGAAUCACUGGGCGUAAAGCGCACGUAGGCGGAUUCUUAAGUCGGUGGUGAAAUCCUGGAGCUCAACUCCAGAACUGCCUUCGAUACUGAGAGUCUUGAGUUCGGGAGAGGUGAGUGGAACUGCGAGUGUAGAGGUGAAAUUCGUAGAUAUUCGCAAGAACACCAGUGGCGAAGGCGGCUCACUGGCCCGUCUGACGCUGAGGUGCGAAAGCGUGGGGAGCAAACAGGAUUAGAUACCCUUGUAGUC
RNAcentral lists this ribosomal RNA (431 nucleotides) under uncultured bacterium. RNAcentral describes it as "partial 16S ribosomal RNA". It matches the Rfam family "Bacterial small subunit ribosomal RNA", at positions 338 to 795 of the family's 1533-position model. The record is from RNAcentral.